GACGUGGCGGCGUGCCUAAUACAUGCAAGUCGAACGAACUCUGGUAUUGAUUGGUGCUUGCAUCAUGAUUUACAUUUGAGUGAGUGGCGAACUGGUGAGUAACACGUGGGAAACCUGCCCAGAAGCGGGGGAUAACACCUGGAAACAGAUGCUAAUACCGCAUAACAACUUGGACCGCAUGGUCCGAGCUUGAAAGAUGGCUUCGGCUAUCACUUUUGGAUGGUCCCGCGGCGUAUUAGCUAGAUGGUGGGGUAACGGCUCACCAUGGCAAUGAUACGUAGCCGACCUGAGAGGGUAAUCGGCCACAUUGGGACUGAGACACGGCCCAAACUCCUACGGGAGGCAGCAGUAGGGAAUCUUCCACAAUGGACGAAAGUCUGAUGGAGCAACGCCGCGUGAGUGAAGAAGGGUUUCGGCUCGUAAAACUCUGUUGUUAAAGAAGAACAUAUCUGAGAGUAACUGUUCAGGUAUUGACGGUAUUUAACCAGAAAGCCACGGCUAACUACGUGCCAGCAGCCGCGGUAAUACGUAGGUGGCAAGCGUUGUCCGGAUUUAUUGGGCGUAAAGCGAGCGCAGGCGGUUUUUUAAGUCUGAUGUGAAAGCCUUCGGCUCAACCGAAGAAGUGCAUCGGAAACUGGGAAACUUGAGUGCAGAAGAGGACAGUGGAACUCCAUGUGUAGCGGUGAAAUGCGUAGAUAUAUGGAAGAACACCAGUGGCGAAGGCGGCUGUCUGGUCUGUAACUGACGCUGAGGCUCGAAAGUAUGGGUAGCAAACAGGAUUAGAUACCCUGGUAGUCCAUACCGUAAACGAUGAAUGCUAAGUGUUGGAGGGUUUCCGCCCUUCAGUGCUGCAGCUAACGCAUUAAGCAUUCCGCCUGGGGAGUACGGCCGCAAGGCUGAAACUCAAAGGAAUUGACGGGGGCCCGCACAAGCGGUGGAGCAUGUGGUUUAAUUCGAAGCUACGCGAAGAACCUUACCAGGUCUUGACAUACUAUGCAAAUCUAAGAGAUUAGACGUUCCCUUCGGGGACAUGGAUACAGGUGGUGCAUGGUUGUCGUCAGCUCGUGUCGUGAGAUGUUGGGUUAAGUCCCGCAACGAGCGCAACCCUUAUUAUCAGUUGCCAGCAUUAAGUUGGGCACUCUGGUGAGACUGCCGGUGACAAACCGGAGGAAGGUGGGGAUGACGUCAAAUCAUCAUGCCCCUUAUGACCUGGGCUACACACGUGCUACAAUGGAUGGUACAACGAGUUGCGAACUCGCGAGAGUAAGCUAAUCUCUUAAAGCCAUUCUCAGUUCGGAUUGUAGGCUGCAACUCGCCUACAUGAAGUCGGAAUCGCUAGUAAUCGCGGAUCAGCAUGCCGCGGUGAAUACGUUCCCGGGCCUUGUACACACCGCCCGUCACACCAUGAGAGUUUGUAACACCCAAAGUCGGUGGGGUAACCUUUUAGGAACCAGCCGCCUAAGGUGGGACAGAUGAUUAGGGUGAAG
This 1487-nucleotide ribosomal RNA is filed under the name Lactiplantibacillus plantarum. RNAcentral's name for it is "Lactobacillus plantarum partial 16S ribosomal RNA". It matches the Rfam family "Bacterial small subunit ribosomal RNA". The record is from RNAcentral. Lineage: Bacteria; Bacillati; Bacillota; Bacilli; Lactobacillales; Lactobacillaceae.